This 244-nucleotide unclassified non-coding RNA is filed under the name uncultured bacterium. RNAcentral's name for it is "partial contains 16S ribosomal RNA and 16S-23S ribosomal RNA intergenic spacer region". The record is from RNAcentral.
AGGCAGCAGUGGGACUCCUACGGGAGGCAGCAGUGGGACUCUCACGGGAGGCAGCAGUGGGACUCCUACGGGAGGCAGCAGUGGGACUCCUACGGGAGGCAGCAGUGGGACAGUUGGCUCAGAACGAACGCUGGCGGCGUGGCUCAGAACGAACGCUGGCGGCCCACUCCUACGGGAGGCAGCAGUGGGGCAGUUGGCUCAGAACGAACGCUGGCGGCCCACUCCUACGGGAGGCAGCAGUGGG